Molecule: long non-coding RNA, 1310 nt
Filed under: Betta splendens (Siamese fighting fish)
Lineage: Eukaryota; Metazoa; Chordata; Actinopteri; Anabantiformes; Osphronemidae
Description: lncRNA (ENSBSLG00000018626.1)
Source: RNAcentral
AUGGCAAAAUCAGACGGGCCCCUUUUCAAAUCCACGUCUCCAAUGUCCCCCCCGCCACCCCUCCAACAGUCUGCAGUCACUGGGCGGCUGGUGAGGCAGGCGGAGAGAAAGAGAGAGAGAGGAGAGCAAGGGUUACAUCAAGGCUGCUCCCUGGACCGUGCAAACAAGUCUAGACCAGUGACCUGUUCAAUGGCUUCUUUUGAGGAGCGGGGCAAGUUCGGUCAGAGCGAGGAGAAAGGCAGGCACAGCCUCUUUUCACUGCCGAAGCAGCUCACAGCCCGCGAUCGACAGGAGGAGCCCUGGCAAUUGUCUCUUUCUCUGCAGUCACAGGUAAGAUGCAUCAGCAACACAAGAAUAAAACCAGGACUCUCCAACUCCGGUCCUGGACUAUUUGAGCUCUUCUGUCAGCCGUCGAGCAGAGGGACAGUGUUUUGGGCGUGUGACUGUCUUGUUUUGCUUCCGCAGUUGCAGAGGAUGGGUGAGUCAGUAACAGUGUCAGGCUGCCAUAACAGAAGGCCUGCGUGAAAUAAUUACUAGGGAGUCAUUUGGCCGCGCGGCUCGGCUCGGCUCGGCCCCAGGUACCCACUGUGCACAGAGCGAGAGUAGACGACCUUUUACUCAGCUCCGUCCCACUGCAGUCACUUAAAACAGUGAUGGAUGGUUCCCUCAACGCCCUGCUCCCGAGCAGCACUCCUUCUUUGCUCCUCACCCUCCCUCUCAUCUCUUCCCACCGCGUUUCCCCCUUUUUCCCCGUCCUCUGCACCACUUCAGCGCCACCCUCGCCUUAUUUGUCCCAUCUCCUCCGCUUGUGUUCCUCCCGUCCUUUUACAGCCUCACAUUCCCUCUGUUCUUUCCGAGUGAUGCGGAUGAAGAGGAAGAAGAAAGGUAGGGGGCUCGAAGGAAAUGGAGGGGGGUGGGGGGUUGAAGUAAGGUGGAGGAGGCAUUUCCUGCCUUCGUAGGGCUGAGUCGAGUCAAGCUACAACCACCACCCUGCGCUGCACGUUCUCCUUUCAGCUGCUCAUUAGUAUGCGGCGGCUGUUGCUCAGGUGACACGGCCUCUGGAUUCGGUCCCGACUGCAGGAGCAUCAGCAGCGGGUAGCAGGUAAGGACAAAAAGAACGGGAGGGAGAGAUGUGAAGGAGGGGAGGGGGAAGGGCAAGCGCAGCAGAGGAGGCACUUCUGUGAGGCCUUGCACACACUUUUACACUUUACUUUGCUGCAUACACACAUAUUUUCAAGUCCAGCUUCUUUCCCAAGUGUGUUUCAUCGUAUCUAAAUAAAAUAAACUGGCUCAGAUGUGCUACUUGAGCU